CCUACGGGAGGCAGCAGUGGGGAAUUUUGGACAAUGGGCGCAAGCCUGAUCCAGCAAUGCCGCGUGAGUGAAGAAGGCCUUCGGGUUGUAAAGCUCUUUUGUCAGGGAAGAAACGGUCUACUCUAAUACAGUGGGCUAAUGACGGUACCUGAAGAAUAAGCACCGGCUAACUACGUGCCAGCAGCCGCGGUAAUACGUAGGGUGCAAGCGUUAAUCGGAAUUACUGGGCGUAAAGCGUGCGCAGGCGGUUAUAUAAGUCAGAUGUGAAAUCCCCGGGCUCAACCUGGGAACUGCAUUUGAGACUGUAUGGCUAGAGUGUGUCAGAGGGGGGUAGAAUUCCACGUGUAGCAGUGAAAUGCGUAGAUAUGUGGAGGAAUACCGAUGGCGAAGGCAGCCCCCUGGGAUAACACUGACGCUCAUGCACGAAAGCGUGGGGAGCAAACAGGAUUAGAUACCCUGGUAGUCCACGCCCUAAACGAUGUCUACUAGUUGUCGGGACUUAAUUGUCUUGGUAACGCAGCUACGCGUGAGUAGACCGCCGUCGGGAGGUACGGUCGCGAGAAGUUAAAACGUUAAAAGUAAAGUUAGUACGGCGUGAGACGUAGACGACGGACGACGACGAGGGAGGAGG
RNAcentral lists this ribosomal RNA (631 nucleotides) under uncultured bacterium. RNAcentral describes it as "bacterial SSU rRNA". The stretch from base 1 to 540 matches the Rfam family "Bacterial small subunit ribosomal RNA", at positions 338 to 873 of the family's 1533-position model. The record is from RNAcentral.